ACGGCUCAGUAACACGUGGUCAAUCUACCGUGAAGAAGGGGAUACCCUCGGGAAACUGAGGCUAAUACCAUACAGACUAGAGUAUCUGGAAUGAUGUCUAAUCGAAAGGGUGACGAAUUGGAGUCUUACCGCUUCACGAUGAGACUGCGUCGGAUCAGGCAGUUGGCGGGGUAACGGCCCACCAAACCUUUGACCCGUAUGGGAUAUGAGAGUAAGAGCCCAGAGAAGGGCACUGAGACAAUGGCCCUAGCGCUACGGCGUGCAGCAGGCGCGCAAACUCCACAAUGCACAUACGUGUGAUGGGGGGAAUCUGAGUGGUCGACUUCGGUUGACCUUUUGCCAAGUUUAGCGAGCUUGGAGAAUAAGUGCUGGGUAAGACCGGUGGCAGCCGCCACGGUAAUACCGGCGGCACGAGUGGUAUUCACAAUUAUUGGGCUUAAAGCGUUAGUAGCCGGCUAAAACAGUCUUGUGUGAAAUAUUGGCGCAUGACGUCAAUACGUGCAUAAGAUACCUUUUGGCUAGGGAGUGGGAGACGUUUGGAGUAUUCAUGGGGUAAGGGUAAAAUCUCGUAAUCCUAUGAAGACUACCGGUGGCGAAGGCGCCAAACGAGAACACAUCCGACGGUGAGUGACGAAGGCUAGGAGAACGAAUCGGAUUAGAUACCCGAGUAGCCCUAGCAGUAAAUUAUGUAGACUCUGGUGUUGCACUUAUCACGAAUAAGCGCAGUACCGUAGGACAACUGUUAAGUCUACCGCCUGGGGAGUACGGUCGCAAGAUUGAAACUUAAAGGAAUUGGCGGGGGAG
Molecule: ribosomal RNA, 804 nt
Filed under: uncultured archaeon
Lineage: Archaea
Description: bacterial SSU rRNA
Rfam family: Archaeal small subunit ribosomal RNA
Source: RNAcentral